RNAcentral lists this ribosomal RNA (490 nucleotides) under uncultured bacterium. RNAcentral describes it as "partial 16S ribosomal RNA". It matches the Rfam family "Bacterial small subunit ribosomal RNA", at positions 30 to 507 of the family's 1533-position model. The record is from RNAcentral.
AUUGAACGCUGGCGGCAGGCCUAACACAUGCAAGUCGAACGGUAACAGGAAGCAGCUUGCUGCUUUGCUGACGAGUGGCGGACGGGUGAGUAAUGUCUGGGAAACUGCCUGAUGGAGGGGGAUAACUACUGGAAACGGUAGCUAAUACCGCAUAACGUCGCAAGACCAAAGAGGGGGACCUUCGGGCCUCUUGCCAUCGGAUGUGCCCAGAUGGGAUUAGCUUGUUGGUGGGGUAACGGCUCACCAAGGCGACGAUCCCUAGCUGGUCUGAGAGGAUGACCGGCCACACUGGAACUGAGACACGGUCCAGACUCCUACGGGAGGCAGCAGUGGGGAAUAUUGCACAAUGGGCGCAAGCCUGAUGCAGCCAUGCCGCGUGUAUGAAGAAGGCCUUCGGGUUGUAAAGUACUUUCAGCGGGGAGGAAGGGAGUAAAGUUAAUACCUUUACUCAUUGACGUUACCCGCAGAAGAAGCACCGGCUAACUCCGUG